Molecule: ribosomal RNA, 97 nt
Filed under: Ligilactobacillus agilis
Lineage: Bacteria; Bacillati; Bacillota; Bacilli; Lactobacillales; Lactobacillaceae
Source: RNAcentral
UGCGGUGACGAUGGCAUGAAGGCUACACCUGUUCCCAUUCCGAACACAGAAGUUAAGCUUCAUAGCGCCGAAGUAAAGAAAGUGAGGUGAACCUAAU